GACAGAGGGUGCAAACGCUGUUCGGAUUUACUGGGCGUAAAGCGUGUGUAGGCGGCUUGGCAAGUUGGAUGUGAAAGCCCACGGCUCAACCGUGGAAGCGCACCCAAAACUGCUUCGCUCGAGUCUCGGAGAGGAAGGUGGAAUGCUUGGUGUAGAGGUGAAAUUCGUAGAUAUCAAGCAGAACACCUGCGGCGAAGGCGGCCUUCUGGACGAUGACUGACGCUGAGACACGAAAGCUAGGGGAGCAAACAGG
Molecule: ribosomal RNA, 253 nt
Filed under: uncultured bacterium
Lineage: Bacteria
Description: partial 16S ribosomal RNA
Rfam family: Bacterial small subunit ribosomal RNA
Source: RNAcentral